RNAcentral lists this long non-coding RNA (310 nucleotides) under Mytilus galloprovincialis (Mediterranean mussel). The record is from RNAcentral. Lineage: Eukaryota; Metazoa; Mollusca; Bivalvia; Mytilida; Mytilidae.
UACUGAUUCAAAAUUUAUUAUGAAAUGGAAUAUAUUUUCAAAGUUGCAAUAUCUGAAUGUAUCUAAAGUCAGAUAUAUAAGGAGAAAGUAUUAGUUUAUUCCAAAAACAAGUGUUUUGUGUGAAUUUCAAUCUGGUUAAAACCGCUCUGUUCUUUAAUUUGGAUAGGAUUUACAAUUUACAAUGAGAAAAACUUAUAUUGGAGAGAAUUUGAAGAUGUGUUAAUUUAAUUUCAAUCUUGUGAUUUUGAAAGAAAUUUACAACCAAAAUACAGUGUCUUAUUUUCAAACUUGCAAUUUGGAAAGGAUUUUU